GAGUUUGAUCCUGGCUCAGGACGAACGCUGGCGGCGUGCCUAAUACAUGCAAGUCGAACGCACGAAGUUGAAGUAGCUUGCUCUUUAACCAAGUGAGUGGCGGACGGGUGAGUAACACGUGGGUAACCUGCCCAUUAGAGGGGGAUAACAUUCGGAAACGGAUGCUAAUACCGCAUAGUUUCAGGAAUCGCAUGAUUCUUGAAGGAAAGGUGGCUUCGGCUACCACUAAUGGAUGGACCCGCGGCGUAUUAGCUAGUUGGUGAGGUAAUGGCUCACCAAGGCAAUGAUACGUAGCCGACCUGAGAGGGUGAUCGGCCACACUGGGACUGAGACACGGCCCAGACUCCUACGGGAGGCAGCAGUAGGGAAUCUUCCGCAAUGGACGAAAGUCUGACGGAGCAACGCCGCGUGAGUGAAGAAGGUUUUCGGAUCGUAAAACUCUGUUGUUAAAGAAGAACAAGGAUGAGAGUAACUGCUCAUCCCCUGACGGUAUUUAACCAGAAAGCCACGGCUAACUACGUGCCAGCAGCCGCGGUAAUACGUAGGUGGCAAGCGUUGUCCGGAUUUAUUGGGCGUAAAGCGAGCACAGGCGGUUCUUUAAGUCUGAUGUGAAAGCCCCCGGCUCAACCGGGGAGGGUCAUUGGAAACUGGAGAACUUGAGUGCAGAAGAGGAGAGUGGAAUUCCACGUGUAGCGGUGAAAUGCGUAGAAAUGUGGAGGAACACCAGUGGCGAAGGCGACCCUCUGGUCUGUAACUGACGCUGAGCUCGAAAGCGUGGGGAGCAAACAGGAUUAGAUAC
RNAcentral lists this ribosomal RNA (799 nucleotides) under uncultured bacterium. RNAcentral's name for it is "bacterial SSU rRNA". It matches the Rfam family "Bacterial small subunit ribosomal RNA", at positions 9 to 785 of the family's 1533-position model. The record is from RNAcentral.